GACGAACGCUGGCGGCGUGCUUAACACAUGCAAGUCGAACGGAAAGGCCCUGCUUUUGUGGGGUGCUCGAGUGGCGAACGGGUGAGUAACACGUGAGUAACCUGCCCUUGACUUUGGGAUAACUUCAGGAAACUGGGGCUAAUACCGGAUAGGAGCUCCUGCUGCAUGGUGGGGGUGGGAAAGUUUCGGUGGUUGGGGAUGGACUCGCGGCUUAUCAGCUUGUUGGUGGGGUAGUGGCUUACCAAGGCCUUGACGGGUAGCCGGCCUGAGAGGGUGACCGGACACAUUGGGACUGAGAUAAGGCCCAGCCUACUACGGGAGGCAGGAGAGGGGAAGAUUGCAUAAUGGGAGGAAGCAUGAUGCAGCCAAGCAGCGUGCGGGAUGACGGGCUUCGGGUUGUAAACCGAUUUCGCCUGUGACGAAGCGUGAGUGACGGUACUGGGUAAAGAAGCACCGGCUAACUACGUG
This 468-nucleotide ribosomal RNA is filed under the name uncultured bacterium. RNAcentral's name for it is "partial 16S ribosomal RNA". It matches the Rfam family "Bacterial small subunit ribosomal RNA", at positions 28 to 507 of the family's 1533-position model. The record is from RNAcentral.